Molecule: transfer RNA, 85 nt
Filed under: Felis catus (domestic cat)
Lineage: Eukaryota; Metazoa; Chordata; Mammalia; Carnivora; Felidae
Rfam family: tRNA
About the family: Transfer RNA (tRNA) molecules are approximately 80 nucleotides in length. Their secondary structure includes four short double-helical elements and three loops (D, anti-codon, and T loops).
Source: Rfam by way of RNAcentral
GCCUGGGUGGCUCAGUGGGUUAAGCGUCUGACUUUGCCUCAGAUCAUGAGCUCACAGUUCGUGGGUUUGAGCCCCGCGUCGGGCU